CAAGAUGAAUCAAUCUAUGAACCUAAAAGGAAUAACUCUUCAAUGUAGGAAUGUAUGGUAUUUGGGUUACAAUGUAAGCAAAAAAACUUGCCUUUUACAGAAAUGUAGCCAUCCUCUUUAUAGUGGAGGAUCCUACUUUAGAUAUAAUUAAAAAUACAUAGUGGGGAGUCCAUGAUAAAUCAGUUUUUUCCUGAUUCCCGCUGAAAUUCUCUCCCUUAGUGCGGUUGCAACAACUCUUGUCUGUGAGCUCGAGCUUGAUCGGACUCGGUGUUGGUCGGUAUUGUUUUUAGAGCUCGAUGCGGAUUUGAGCUCGAUGCCGACUCGGGGUCUUGUAAUGACUCGGGCUCAGUAUCGGUUGGCCUUUGUCCCUUAAGCUCGAUUCCAUAACAUCUCAUGAUCAUAGUUCGAUUCGGACCCGAGCUCGAUAAUGACUUCGAACUCAGUGUUUGACCUGUACCUGAAAUCUGAAGCUCGUUCGUGCCAUCUUCGGAACCCAUCUCGAUAUUACGAAAUCUUCUUUCGGUCCAUUAUGAUCCCCAUCUCGAUCAAUCGUACGAAAGCCGAAAUCAAUUUCGACCGUAUACAAUUGAAUUUCAUGCUAUAAAUUUGUUAUAUUUCUUUUAAAUUGUAACAGUUAUAUAAAGUUCUCAUAAUUAUGUGCUCUCUUCAUAGAGAUAUAUAAAUAUUCGAGUCAGAGAACAAAAACAGGCAAAAUAAGAAAGAACAAAUAAAAAAGUUCAAUCUUACAUUCAAACGAGAAGAAGAGUCUUUUUGCCGUUCUUCUACUUCGAAGGCAAAACUAUAACACAGCAAAAGCAAAGAAAAAGUUAGCAAGAAAGAUGAAUUUAGAAAGUACAUGACUUGGAGAGGAAAGCUAAAUACAGUUUCGUCCUUUUCGGUAUGAAAUUUAGCUACGUUUACUAUCUUCUUUUAUCGUGUUAUUUCUUGGGAAAGAUCCAAAAUCCAUUCUGAUCUUGAUCUAGUUAAUAGAUUCCAUGGUCAUUUUCAGAGGAAUGAUUCAAGGUUUAUGCUCAUAAUCGCAACAUAAAGAAGUCAUAAAAAAUAUGAAUAUUAUCUGCAAAAGAUCAAAAGAGAAAUAGCAAACUAACAAAAGAUAAGGGAAACACGAAAAGAAAUCUCACCUUCCGUUAUUGAGAGUGGAAGCAGAGAGAUUAAUUGCUCCAACUUUGCUUAAUUUGAUGGUUAGAGAAAUAACAAAUAAGAAAGAAUAUUAUAG
This 1237-nucleotide long non-coding RNA is filed under the name Nicotiana tabacum (common tobacco). RNAcentral describes it as "long non-coding RNA (NTAB_LNC011904)". Lineage: Eukaryota; Viridiplantae; Streptophyta; Magnoliopsida; Solanales; Solanaceae. The record is from RNAcentral.